This 303-nucleotide ribosomal RNA is filed under the name uncultured bacterium. RNAcentral describes it as "partial 16S ribosomal RNA". It matches the Rfam family "Bacterial small subunit ribosomal RNA", at positions 507 to 809 of the family's 1533-position model. The record is from RNAcentral.
AGCAGUCGCCGCGGUAAUACGUAGGUGGCAAGCGUUGUCCGGAAUUAUUGGGCGUAAAGCGCGCGCAGGCGGAUAGGUCAGUCUGUCUUAAAAGUUCGGGGCUUAACCCCGUGAUGGGAUGGAAACUGCCAAUCUAGAGUAUCGGAGAGGAAAGUGGAAUUCCUAGUGUAGCGGUGAAAUGCGUAGAUAUUAGGAAGAACACCAGUGGCGAAGGCGACUUUCUGGACGAAAACUGACGCUGAGGCGCGAAAGCCAGGGGAGCGAACGGGAUUAGAGACCCCAGUAGUCCCUGUCUCUUAUACA